This 584-nucleotide ribosomal RNA is filed under the name uncultured bacterium. RNAcentral describes it as "partial 16S ribosomal RNA". It matches the Rfam family "Bacterial small subunit ribosomal RNA", at positions 355 to 1375 of the family's 1533-position model. The record is from RNAcentral.
UGGGGAAUUUUGGACAAUGGGCGAAAGCCUGAUCCAGCAAUGCCGCGUGUGUGAAGAAGGCCUUCGGGUUGUAAAGCACUUUUGUCCGGAAAGAAAUCCUUGGCUCUAAUACAGUCGGGGGAUGACGGUACCGGAAGAAUAAGCACCGGCUAACUACGUGCCAGCAGCCGCGGUAAUACGUAGGGUGCAAGCGUUAAUCGGAAUUACUGGGCGUAAAGCGUGCGCAGGCGGUUUGCUAAGACCGAUGUGAAAUCCCCGGGCUCAACCUGGGAACUGCAUUGGUGACUGGCAGGCUAGAGUAUGGCAGAGGGGGGUAGAAUUCCACGUGUAGCAGUGAAAUGCGUAGAGAUGUGGAGGAAUACCGAUGGCGAAGGCAGCCCCCUGGGCAAUACUGACGCUCAUGCACGAAAGCGUGGGGAGCAAACAGGAUUAGAUACCCUGGUAGUCCACGCCCUAAACGAUGUCAACUAGUUGUUGGGGAUUCAUUUCCUUAGUAACGUAGCUAACGCGUGAAGUUGACCGCCUGGGGAGUACGGUCGCAAGAUUAAAACUCAAAGGAAUUGACGGGGUCAUAGCUGUUUCCU